GCCACAUUGGGGAAUGAAAGGUUCUAACUCCUCCAGUUCUGCUGGGCCCAGCCCACAUCUGGGUGUGGGUGUUGUACCUCCCUGCUUUCCCUGCACUGAGAAGGAGAACCAGGAGAUCAUAGAUCUGGGAUCCAGGACGGCAGGGUCCAGGCUAAGAUCUGAUAGGGCAAAGAUGGGACAUUCUCCAACUCCAACCCCUUUUUGCUGCAAGCAGGCCACUCACCUAUACCAGGAAAGAUGCCAAGUCCCUAACUGCACCACCAGGCUCAAGAUAUCCAGGCCUCUCUGUUGGGUCCAUGAUUUCGAAGGAGGCCGGGGGCUGAGCUGUGGUCCACUGCAUGGUGACAGGAUCCAUACUGGUGACAAUGGGCUCUACAGACAGAAAGGUCCACAGCUACCCAAGCCAGGGUCUACAGGGCUCCCAAGCUCUGGAGGAAGACGUGAACAUGCUGUCCCUACACACUUUUAUCUUCUCAAAUUCCUAUCCUGCUCAUUUGUGUCCCAGAAAGACUCUGAACCGUAUGUGCCAUUCUCUGGAUGAAAUGAGACUUUCAUAUUUCCAGAUGUUCCUUGCUCAGCAAAACAGGAUUCUGAUUUUGGGAAAGGGGAAGGACAGAAUAAAGGCAGAACUGCUUGCUUGACACAUUUUUUUUUAAACAGACACGCUUUUGGGUAAAAAAAAAAAAAAAAAAA
RNAcentral lists this long non-coding RNA (693 nucleotides) under Fukomys damarensis (Damara mole-rat). RNAcentral's name for it is "lncRNA (ENSFDAG00000030775.1)". Lineage: Eukaryota; Metazoa; Chordata; Mammalia; Rodentia; Bathyergidae. The record is from RNAcentral.